Molecule: transfer RNA, 77 nt
Filed under: Chloroflexota bacterium
Lineage: Bacteria; Bacillati; Chloroflexota
Also listed under: 2 other names
Description: tRNA-Cys
Rfam family: tRNA
About the family: Transfer RNA (tRNA) molecules are approximately 80 nucleotides in length. Their secondary structure includes four short double-helical elements and three loops (D, anti-codon, and T loops). Further hydrogen bonds mediate the characteristic L-shaped molecular structure. tRNAs have two regions of fundamental functional importance: the anti-codon, which is responsible for specific mRNA codon recognition, and the 3' end, to which the tRNAs corresponding amino acid is attached (by aminoacyl-tRNA synthetases). tRNAs cope with the degeneracy of the genetic code in two manners: having more than one tRNA (with a specific anti-codon) for a particular amino acid; and 'wobble' base-pairing, i.e. permitting non-standard base-pairing at the 3rd anti-codon position.
Source: RNAcentral
GGCGACGUAGCCAAGUGGUCUAAGGCCGAGGUCUGCAAAACCUCUAUUCGGCGGUUCGAAUCCGCCCGUCGCCUCCA